UGGGUUAGUGGCGGACGGGUGAGUAACGCGUGGGUAACCUGCCUUACACAGGGGGAGUAACACUUAGAAAUAGGUGCUAAAACCGCAUAAGCGCACAGCUUCGCAUGAAGCGGUGUGAAAAACUCCGGUGGUGUAAGAUGGACCCGCGUCUGAUUAGCUUGUUGGCGGGGUAACGGCCCACCAAGGCGACGAUCAGUAGCCGGCCUGAGAGGGCGGACGGCCACAUUGGGACUGAGACACGGCCCAGACUCCUACGGAAGGCAGCAG
This 267-nucleotide ribosomal RNA is filed under the name uncultured bacterium. RNAcentral's name for it is "partial 16S ribosomal RNA". It matches the Rfam family "Bacterial small subunit ribosomal RNA", at positions 88 to 354 of the family's 1533-position model. The record is from RNAcentral.